GGAGAAACUAGAAGGAACCAUGGGAAAUCAUCAAAUCCAGUCCCCUGCACUCAUGGCAGGACCAAAUACCCUCUUAUGUCAUGCCUGACAGAUCCACCCAGACUAUCUGAUGGAAGAACAGGUUUCAUUGAAGAAUGGGUCUACUCUGAAGAAUGGCACUGAGAGUAACUCGACUAACACGGCUAUCUCUCUGGAACUUGUCUUUCUGAAUGAUGGUAGCUAUUUUGAUGGAACCCUUCUUCUGUGAACACAAUUUGGGUUUGUGCGAUGUAAAUAUGCCAAUUAGGAGAG
This 291-nucleotide long non-coding RNA is filed under the name Pelusios castaneus (West African mud turtle). Its description in RNAcentral is "lncRNA (ENSPCEG00000016801.1)". Lineage: Eukaryota; Metazoa; Chordata; Testudines; Pelomedusidae. The record is from RNAcentral.